This is a long non-coding RNA of Panthera uncia (snow leopard), 2271 nucleotides long. RefSeq lists it as uncharacterized. NCBI's taxonomy places the organism in Eukaryota, Metazoa, Chordata, Mammalia, Carnivora, Felidae. The record is from RefSeq and is a predicted model, not a curated record. The transcript has 3 exons.
GCCUGGCGGGGCGGCCGCGCUCAGUGGGCUGCGGGACUGGGGGCGGGGCGGCGCCUUGUGGGGGCGGGGCCUGGCGGGGAGGCCGCGCUCAGUGGACGGUGGGGCGGGGCGGGACCUGGCGGGGGCGGGGCUUGAGCGGGCCCGGGGCGGAGCCAGCACUGGACUGGCCCCUUGGGGGGCUGCAGGGGGAACUUGGAAGGGGAAGGGAGACCGUGCCCUACGUCCCUCGCCGGCUGCCUGCUGUCUGCACAGGCACAUUAAUAGCUGGACGUGCCAUGUGUAGCCCCAGGGCUAGGGGCUGCAUUGAAUAAAUUCCUAGAGGGUCACUUGGCCGUUUCAGUCUGUAGAGCACGUGACUCUUGCUGUCAGGGUCAUGAGUUCAAGCACCACGUUGGGCAUAGAGCUUGAAAAAUAAUAAAAAUGAAAUAAAAUUAGUACAAAAAAAAGAAAAGACAAAUUCUUAGAGAAGGGCUGCUUUACAGGUGAUGCAUUUUAAAUCAUAUUGUUUCAUAACAAAUUGUCUGCCAAAGGAACCAAAACACAGGAAAUCGGAGGGAAAGGUUAGAUAAAUCAUUUCAUGGGGAUAAUACACAGCAGAUUCUCAGACACAGCGCUAAAUAUACGUCUACUUAGGUGUAAAGUGCUCCAAAGUUUAUAAUUAACAUGCAAAACAGUGAACUGGGCUAUUAGUUGUCAUUUUAGAAAAUCGCUGGAAGGGGUGGGUAUACCAGACCUCCACGUGUGGACAACCACAUAUACGUACGUACCUGUACGUACCACAUAGUGCUAGGUUACAUAUGCAUGUGUAAUAUAUAGCAUAGUGGCUAAGCCCUGGCUGACCACGAGCCAGUCUUUCCGUAUAUAUUCAUUCAUGUAUUCCUUACAACGAUUCCAUGAGGUACUUGCUGUUAUAGCACCAUUUUACAGAUGAGAGCAUUGAGGCCAGAGAAAUUAGGUGAUGUGCCCAAGCAGGGCAAAGAGCCAGAUUCUCACACCGGAAACUGUUAACAGUGGCUGCUUCGGGAAGGGUCAAAGUGAUGAGGGAGCAUAAGGCAAGCGGACAGCAAGCAGGACCUAGCAACACCCGCCCUGCCCCCCUCAGGUGGGACCUGUGUGACAAUCCUCUGGCACUCCUGGCUGUCCAAGGACAAAGGAAAGGACAGAAAACAAAUGGUUAAACUGAUAACCUCUCCAUCAGUUUGCAAACAUCUUAGUAAUAUCUGGAGAAAAGGGCCAUCUUAUCAAUAGCCUAACAUCCAGGAACUUAGUACUGUCUUGAUGCUAAUGCUUUGCUAGAAGGAAAACAGCCUUAGCUUGACAACAGCCAGGCCUCCAGUGAUCUGUGGGUCUCCUUCAGCCUACGAAAUCCCUUUAAGAAACUUCCCCUUGACUUUUCCUCUCUCAGCUCCAUAGGAUGUAACCAGUCACCCCUCACAACCCCAGCGCAGCUCUUCCUGCCCACGGGUCCUGUCCCUGAGCUUUAAUAAAAUCACCUUUUUACACCAAAGACGUCUUCAGCACAGAGCCUGAUACAGGACUCGAACUCACGAACCCUGAGAUCAAGACCUGAGCCGAAGUCGGACACUCAACCCACUGGGCCACCCAGGUGCCACUAGGGUGAAAUAUUCUUAUGCUCAACUACUGCUUUUGUAAAUGCAGAGUACCCACAACCCCCUCACUGCCCUCGGCCUGCAGUAAUGGCCCCGAGUGGUCGCACCAGCCUGUGGAUGCUUCCAACAAGCAGCCCCCCCCCCACUGCCUUCACAGAGCCACCCAGCAGCCAUACUUCCUGCUCCCCUGGAAGGAAUCCCACUUAGCAUCUCCUGGAAACCCUGGGCCUGCACCCAGGUCCUUCUUCAGGCUCCAGGACACACGGGUUCCUGACACUGGACUGCGGCCAGAGGCCACCAGAGCUGGGAGGGACAGGGGGUCUCCUGGCCAAGCCCCUUGUUUUUCAGUAUGAGGUCAGCCACGGCACGCCUGGGGUCACUUUCCAUUCCCUCCGUUGUCCAGGACCAACUGCGUUUGCCCAGGCCCCCCAGAGCUGCGGGAGCAGAAUUCCUUAUCUGCAAAUCUGUGCCCUCACUACCUUUUGCUGUGACCUCCAGAUCAGAACUCACAAGGUUUCCUGGGCGUACAUUCCCAGCUGAGGCUAUGCGGCCGCUCGAGGAUUUAAACCCGCACCCCUCUGGCUCCUGCACCGCAUCCGUCUCCAAAGCAAGGACUCGGUCCUGUCCAUCUCUGCCCUCCAGUGUUCUGCCCGAGACCCAG